AUGGAGACCCUGUUGAGCUUCACUCUAGUCCGACUCUGUCAAGAGUCAUGAGAGGGAGGUUACCAACAGUGAAAUACCACUACUUUCAUCGAUUCUUUACUUAUUCGGUAAAACGAGAAUUGAAAUAUUAUAUGUGUUUCGAAAUUUUUGAUUUAAGUUAAAUCACUCGGUGAUUUAACGACUCACACCGAAGACAGUGUCAGGCGGGGAGUUUGACUGGGGUGGUAUAUCUGUCAAAACGUAACGCAGGUGUCCUAAGGCUAGCUCAGAGAGGACAGAAACCUCUCGUAGAGUAAAAGGGCAAAAGCUCGCUUGAUCUUGAAUACAGACCGCGAAAGCGUGGCCUAUCGAUCCUUUUGAAUUUUUUUAGAAGGUUUCUAGCAAGAGGUAUCAGAAAAGUUACCACAGGGAUAACUGGCUUGUGGCAGCCAAUUAUAUUUGACAUAUUAAAAACAAAUUUGUCAUUUACUC
This 471-nucleotide non-coding RNA is filed under the name Brugia pahangi. RNAcentral describes it as "Eukaryotic large subunit ribosomal RNA". It matches the Rfam family "Eukaryotic large subunit ribosomal RNA", at positions 2408 to 2861 of the family's 3401-position model. The record is from Rfam by way of RNAcentral. Lineage: Eukaryota; Metazoa; Nematoda; Chromadorea; Rhabditida; Onchocercidae.